GGAUAUAAGCAAAUAUAUUUUCAUGGGUACAUGAAGAAUCAUGCCAAACUCACAACAAAACUCUCAGAAUAUCUUGCUGUCGUGUUCAUCUGGACACAAUAGCUCUUAACACAAAAGCAUCUCAAGCAGCUCAAAUGAAAGAGUCAUGAAAAUACACAUGUCAGAAGACUAAAUAAAGUGUACUACUAGUAUUUUAAAAGUAGGCAACUCCAAGACAGCCUGCACGGGUAAGACAAUCACUAACUCACUCGUGUUUCCACAGCAACUAUUCUCCAGCCACUAUCAUUGAAGUGGCUCUUGUUGUGGAGUUGUGGCUUGGUGGGGAGUUACUCCAGGUCCAGGUGCAAUUGUGACUUGCAAGCUCCGCCGUUGCCCUGCCUGCAGCAUGAAUGCAAC
This 396-nucleotide unclassified non-coding RNA is filed under the name Hevea brasiliensis (rubber tree). Lineage: Eukaryota; Viridiplantae; Streptophyta; Magnoliopsida; Malpighiales; Euphorbiaceae. The record is from RNAcentral.